RNAcentral lists this ribosomal RNA (468 nucleotides) under uncultured bacterium. RNAcentral describes it as "partial 16S ribosomal RNA". It matches the Rfam family "Bacterial small subunit ribosomal RNA", at positions 28 to 507 of the family's 1533-position model. The record is from RNAcentral.
GACGAACGCUGGCGGCGUGCUUAACACAUGCAAGUCGAACGGAAAGGCCCUGCGUUUGUGGGGUGCUCGAUUGGCGAACGGGUGAGUAACACGUGAGUAACCUGCCCUUGACUUUGUGAUAACUUCAGGAAACUGGGGCGAAUACCGGAUAGGAGCUCCUGCUGCAUGGUGGUGGUUGGAAAGUUUCGGCGGUUGGGGAUGGACUCGCGGCUUAUCAGCUUGUUGGUGGGGUAGUGGCUUACCAAGGCUUUGACGGGUAGCCGGCCUGAGAGGGUUAACGGCCACAUUGGGACUGCGAUACGGCCCAGAAUCCUACGGGCGGCAGCAGUGGGGAAUAUUGCACAACGGGCGGAAGUCUGAUGCAGAAACGCCGCGUGCGGAGUGACGGCCUUCGGGUUGUAAACAGCUUUCGACUGUGACGAAGCGUGCGUGACGGUAAUGGGUAAAGAAGCACCGGCUAACUACGUG